UUAAGGAGUUUUAUUCCUGAUUCUCAGUAACAAGCUUGUGGAAAAUUGGCAGGUUUGCUGUGGAGAAUAGAUAAGACUGGUUGGGCAAGGAUGAGUUGAGGCACUUGCUUAUAUUACACCUGACUUGAGUGAGGCUUAAGCACUUUAUGGUGUCCGGGCUCAAGUGUAGAGCUCCCAGUAUAGUGCCUCAGCAAAGUAGAGACUGUGCUCCCACAUCAUAUGGAGAUAGGGCCUCAGCCCCCUUAUCCACACACAGCAAGCUGUAUUAGAAGUAGACAUCUGGUCCUGUGAGGAGAUGUGUGGCCAGCAGGCCAAGGAAGGGAAUUCUGUCUCUCUGCUCCACUCACAAAACUCCACCUGCAGGACUGCAUUCAGGUCUGUGGCCCCCAGUGUAACAAGGGCAUGGAGCUGCUGCAGCAAGUCCAGAGGUGGCCAUGAAGAUGUGCCAAGGGCUGCAGCACUUCUGCUGUGGAGACAAGCUGGGAGAGCUGGAGAUGUUCAGCCUGGAGAAGGCUUCAGAGUGACCUUACUGUACCUUUCAGUACUUGUAGGGGGCCUAUAAGAAGAUUGGAGGCAAACUUUAACAGGGCCUAUUGCAACAGGAAAAGAUAUGAUCAUUUUAAAGUGAAGAAGGGGGGUUGAUUUAGAUUAGAUUAGAUAUAAAAAAGGAGGCUUUUAUAACGUGGGUGGUAAACUAUUGUCACAGUUUGCCAAGAGAUGUGGUGGAUGCCCCUAGAAACAUUCAAGGCUGGGUUGCGCAGGGCUCUGAGCAACCUGGUCUACUGAAAGGUGUCUCUGCUCAUUGUAGGGGCCUUGGACUAAAUGAUAUUUAAAGAUCCCUUCCAACCCACACUGUUCUGUGAUUCUUUGAUGAUGAUGUGCAGUAGUAAAAUGUUGAUGGGAGUAAUGAUAGUCAAGCAAAGGUCAGAUGGCCUUUACUGCUGCCUCAUCUGAGUGGAGGAGGAAGCAAUACUAAAGUAUCAUGUUUCUGUUCUUCCUUUGAUUCAAUCCUAACUCAGCCUGACCAACAGUAACCGAAACCCUCAUUAUCCCUCAUUUACCUAGGAAACAGACACCAGCAUGCAACUGAGAAAGUGCCUUUGUCCCCCUUACCUAAGAUGAAAGUAACAGGUAACCAAUUGUAUUUGAUAACAGUCUCACCUCCAUUUAUCUGAAAAUACAAAAUUGAUAUUUGGA
This 1197-nucleotide long non-coding RNA is filed under the name Taeniopygia guttata (zebra finch). RNAcentral's name for it is "lncRNA (ENSTGUG00000020765.1)". The record is from RNAcentral. Lineage: Eukaryota; Metazoa; Chordata; Aves; Passeriformes; Estrildidae.